This is a non-coding RNA of Caenorhabditis elegans, 73 nucleotides long. Lineage: Eukaryota; Metazoa; Nematoda; Chromadorea; Rhabditida; Rhabditidae. The record is from Ensembl.
GGAAUUUGUAUGGCGAGAUGAUGAGGUUGAUCACAAUAAAGAUGCGGAUGAAGUGCGUACAAAUGAAGCCAAU